UCCGACUUGACGCCGGCAGUCUCGUUAGAGUCCUGUCUUGCGACUAGCAACUAACGACAGGGGUUGCGCUCGUUAGAGGACUUAACCCGACACUUCACAGCACGAGCUGACGACAGCCAUGCAGCACCUGUGCAUGUUGUACCCUUGCGGGCCUGGCUCCCCUUUCAGGGAGUUAAUCCAUGCAUGUCAAACCCAGGAUAAGGUUCUUCGCGUUGCUUCGAAUUGAGCCACAUGCUCCACCGCUUGUGUGAGCCCCCGUCAAUUCCUUUGAGUUUUAGCCUUGCGACCGUACUCCCCAGGCGGUGCACUAAUUACUUUUGCUUCGACCCUGAUACCGUCAGAGGUCCCAGGAUCUAGUGCACAUCGUUUACAGCGUGGACUA
Molecule: unclassified non-coding RNA, 382 nt
Filed under: uncultured Phycisphaeraceae bacterium
Lineage: Bacteria; Pseudomonadati; Planctomycetota; Phycisphaerae; Phycisphaerales; Phycisphaeraceae
Description: contains 16S-23S intergenic spacer region
Source: RNAcentral